RNAcentral lists this ribosomal RNA (663 nucleotides) under Gloeothece tepidariorum PCC 6909. RNAcentral describes it as "bacterial SSU rRNA". It matches the Rfam family "Bacterial small subunit ribosomal RNA", at positions 99 to 795 of the family's 1533-position model. Lineage: Bacteria; Bacillati; Cyanobacteriota; Cyanophyceae; Chroococcales; Aphanothecaceae. The record is from RNAcentral.
CGGACGGGUGAGUAACGCGUGAGAACCUGCCUUCAGAAUGGGGACAACAGUUGGAAACGACUGCUAAUACCCAAUGUGCCGAAAGGUGAAAGAUUUAUCGUCUGAAGAUGGGCUCGCGUCUGAUUAGCUAGAUGGUGGGGUAAGAGCCUACCAUGGCAACGAUCAGUAGCUGGUCUGAGAGGAUGAGCAGCCACACUGGGACUGAGACACGGCCCAGACUCCUACGGGAGGCAGCAGUGGGGAAUUUUCCGCAAUGGGCGAAAGCCUGACGGAGCAAUACCGCGUGAGGGAGGAAGGUCCUUGGAUUGUAAACCUCUUUUAUCAGGGAAGAAAAAAAUGACGGUACCUGAUGAAUAAGCAUCGGCUAACUCCGUGCCAGCAGCCGCGGUAAUACGGAGGAUGCAAGCGUUAUCCGGAAUUAUUGGGCGUAAAGCGUCCGUAGGUGGUUUUGCAAGUCUGCUGUUAAAGAAUGGAGCUUAACUCCAUAAGAGCGGUGGAAACUGCAAGACUAGAGUACAGUAGGGGUAGCAGGAAUUCCCAGUGUAGCGGUGAAAUGCGUAGAUAUUGGGAAGAACAUCGGUGGCGAAAGCGUGCUACUGGGCUGAAACUGACACUGAGGGACGAAAGCUAGGGUAGCGAAAGGGAUUAGAUACCCCUGUAGUC